CCCCCCCCCCCCCCCCCCCCCCCCCCCCCCCCCCCCCCCCCCCCCCCCCCCCCCCCCCCCCCCCCCCCCCCCCCCCCCCCCCCCCCCCCCCCCCCCUGCCUUGUGCUGCUCUGUGCCCUGUGCUGCCCUGUGCUGCUCUGUGCCUGUCCUGUGCCCUGUGCUGCCCUGUGCUGCCCUGUGCCCUGUGCCUGUCCUGUGCCCUGUGCCGCCCUGUGCCUGUCCUGUGCCGUUCCCUGUGCCCUGUGUCCUGUGCCGCCCUGUGCCUUGUGCCCUGUGCCCUCCCUGUGCCCUGUGUCCUGUGCCGCCCUGUGCCUUGUGCCCUGUGCCCUCCCUGUGCCCUGUGUCCUGUGCCGCCCUGUGCCUUGUGCCCUGUGCCCUCCCUGUGCCCUGUGUCCUGUGCCGCCCUGUGCCUUGUGCCCUGUGCCCUCCCUGUGCCCUGUGUCCUGUGCCGCCCUGUGCCUUGUGCCCUUUGCCCUCCCUGUGCCCUGUGCCCUCCCUGUGCCCUGUGCCACCCUGUGCCUUCUGCCCUGUGCCACCUUGUGCCCUGUGCCACCUUGUGCCUUGCCCUCCCUGCCCUCCCUGCCUGCCCUGUCCUGCCCUGCCCGGGAGCAGCCCCAGGAGCCUGUGGGGCACUGCCAGCCCAAGCCCUUGGCACAGAGCUGUGCCCACACUGUCCCUGCUCUGUUUGGGGCCGCUGCCUUCAGAGCCCGCUGCUCUCCGGGCGCUGCCGUCGCUGCCCUGGUUUGGACUGAGCUCCCUGGUUCUGCCUUCCCCUGGGCAUUGCUGAGCUGUUUGCUCUCCUUCCCCGGCUCAGGGCAGGUGCCACAGGAGCCGGAGGUGCUGGUCACAGCUCACGUGUGGCUCUGCCAGGCCCUUGGUGGCACUGCCUGCUCUCCUGGCCGUGCAGGUGGCACACACGGUGUCACAGACUUGCCGGGCAGCCCUAGCCCUGCCUGUGAGCAGAGCUGGGCUCAGCUGCUGCCAGCAGCUCUCCCUCCUCCCGGGACCGUGCCCAGCUCUGCCGCCUCCGAGUCUGCCUCGGCCGUGGACUUGGCAGCACUGAGCCAGCUGCACAAUUGGGAGAAUAAAUGCAAACCAGUAUUUUGGUAA
RNAcentral lists this long non-coding RNA (1110 nucleotides) under Ficedula albicollis (Collared flycatcher). RNAcentral's name for it is "lncRNA (ENSFALG00000000736.2)". The record is from RNAcentral. Lineage: Eukaryota; Metazoa; Chordata; Aves; Passeriformes; Muscicapidae.